AGCGAACGCUGGCGGCAGGCCUAAACAUGCAAGUCGAACGGAUCCUUCGGGAUUAGUGGCGGACGGGUGAGUAACACGUGGAACGUGCCUUUUGGUUCGGAACAACUCAGGGAAACUUGAGCUAAUACCGAAUGUGCCCUUCGGGGAAAGAUUAUCGCCAUUAGAGCGGCCCGCGUCUGAUUAGCUUGUUGGUGAGGUAAAGGCUCACCAAGGCGACGAUCAGUAGCUGGUCUGAGAGGAUGAUCAGCCACACUGGGACUGAGACACGGCCCAGACUCCUACGGGAGGCAGCAGUUAGGAAUCUUGCGCAAUGGGGGAAACCCUGACGCAGCCAUGCCGCGUGAAUGAUGAAGGUCUUAGGAUUGUAAAAUUCUUUCAGCGGGGACGAUAAUGACGGUACCCGCAGAAGAAGCCCCGGCUAACUUCGUGCCAGCAGCCGCGGU
This 443-nucleotide ribosomal RNA is filed under the name uncultured bacterium. RNAcentral describes it as "bacterial SSU rRNA". It matches the Rfam family "Bacterial small subunit ribosomal RNA", at positions 29 to 521 of the family's 1533-position model. The record is from RNAcentral.